RNAcentral lists this long non-coding RNA (408 nucleotides) under Vigna radiata. RNAcentral describes it as "long non-coding RNA (VRAD_LNC015442)". Lineage: Eukaryota; Viridiplantae; Streptophyta; Magnoliopsida; Fabales; Fabaceae. The record is from RNAcentral.
GGCAGUGAUGAUAGCAUCUACUGAUGGAUGUUAGGUGAUAUGGCAUUUACUGAUGGAUGCCAAUGAAGAUUAAAAAGAAUAACAUUUACUGAUGAGUGCUACUAGGAUAAUAUCUACUGGGGAUGUUAGAAGAUAUAGAUAUCCACUGAAGGAUAUCCGGAAGGUACACCUACUGAUGGGUGGUGGAAGGUAGUGCACUUACUAACAAGUGCCAACCAGGUUUGGGUCAGGCUCGUGACGUUAAACAAGCGCUACUAGGAGGCAACCUAUAUUUCUUCUUACACUUUUGCAUUUUAAAUUCUUAGAAUAGGUUGAAUUUUUAUUUUUGGUGUCACUCUUGGCUUUACUACUUGUUCUGAAAAUGUUGGACUAACUGAUGUGCAUGAUGAAUCUAUUUGAUGAUUUUUG